GCCCCGGUAGCUCAGUGGAUAGAGCAAGUGGGUUCUAACCAUUAGGUCGGGGGUUCGAAUCCCUCCCGGGGUGCCA
This 76-nucleotide transfer RNA is filed under the name Candidatus Saccharimonadota bacterium. RNAcentral describes it as "tRNA-Arg". It matches the Rfam family "tRNA". Rfam says of the family: Transfer RNA (tRNA) molecules are approximately 80 nucleotides in length. Their secondary structure includes four short double-helical elements and three loops (D, anti-codon, and T loops). Further hydrogen bonds mediate the characteristic L-shaped molecular structure. tRNAs have two regions of fundamental functional importance: the anti-codon, which is responsible for specific mRNA codon recognition, and the 3' end, to which the tRNAs corresponding amino acid is attached (by aminoacyl-tRNA synthetases). tRNAs cope with the degeneracy of the genetic code in two manners: having more than one tRNA (with a specific anti-codon) for a particular amino acid; and 'wobble' base-pairing, i.e. permitting non-standard base-pairing at the 3rd anti-codon position. RNAcentral also lists the same sequence under 2 other names. The record is from RNAcentral. Lineage: Bacteria; Candidatus Saccharimonadota.